Ictidomys tridecemlineatus (thirteen-lined ground squirrel) is the source of this 2088-nucleotide long non-coding RNA. RefSeq lists it as uncharacterized. Lineage: Eukaryota; Metazoa; Chordata; Mammalia; Rodentia; Sciuridae. The record is from RefSeq and is a predicted model, not a curated record.
GUACCUGUGCAGAUUGCCUGUACCUCACCUUGAUGUUGGGCUUCCAAACCCUGCUGGUGUCCCUCAAUGUAUGCUACUGCAGCUCAAGGUGGUGGCGGCAAUACUCAAGGGCAAUUACUGGUCCUUAUAUCCUGGCCUGAACUGAAGGUGAGGAUUAGAAUUUCAGCUAUCACCAUAGGAGGUUGCCACAUUCUACGAGAUCAUUAAUUCUCCCUGGCCUUGGGUAAAACAAAGGGGCUGAAUGCACAAAAUCAUCUCCAAACUUGGACUUCCAGGUUUCAACUAGAGACACAUGGGUAGCUGAGCCCUGUUCUGGUGGUUUUAUGAGUCAAACAAUUUCAAUGAAAUUCAAGCAAUGGAGAGAAGGAUGCUUGAGAAAACGCUUUUGAGUGGCGAAGGCAUUUGUACAAAUGUUUUACUUUCUCACUUCGAUUCAAAAAGUGGUAUGCAACUCGAAUAUGUGGAUUUGUGGCAAGAACAGCACGGGCAACAGCAAGAAAGAGAACAAUGGCUUGUGAAAAGAAGAAAAGAGCCCUUCCAAUGUAUUUUGUUCACUGUGACGAAAAGCUAACACAUCAGGAUCAAGACGAUAAAACCAAGGCUCCACUUCUUCAAGCAGGAGUGGCAAGGCUCUGGAAGACAACGUCGAACUGAAUUUGACUUGGUCUAUCUGCCACAGAAGCAAUUUUAAUAGGUACUAAGAUUCAAGUGUACAGAGGGGCUAGGCAGAAAAAUACAAAAAGGGAAGUGGAUUUUUAUUUACUCAUGAAAAAAAUUACAGGAUUUUUUUCCCCAGGGAAAUUGUCUUUCUUACUCUCUCCAUCUUCCUUCUCUCUAUUUAUACAGACUCAAUCCUGCAUAACUUCUGUUCUCUCGCUUUUGACACUGACAUGAGUGGAAACAGAAACUUUCCUCUACUGUAAAAAAAGCAAUAGUGAGACCCCAAUAAAGGAUGGUGGCUGACACUUGUCUCCCACGUCAGGGAUACAAACUAGAGAGCCUGUGUCCUGGCCAGAGUUCAGCUAUGACUCAGCUCCAUCCAGUUGUUGCCAGGGAAGAGCAUGGAUCCAAUAGGGCCAGAUCUGAUUGUUCAAGGAAUGUCAAAUACUGAGGUUUUUACAUGGACUCUUGACUUAUUACUUUAGUUCAAAUUAAAAUCAAUCAGUAUCCCGAAAGCCCAAUGAAUCAGCACAAUGGCCUGAAUUUGCCCGAUGGGCCACUAUUUUGCCCCUUCAAUUUGGCUGCCAGGUGCAAAUUAUACAGAGGAGUAAAAGAGAAGGCACAGGAUGCAAAACUUAACCGCAACUUGAGGUCUUUGUUGGAGGAUCUAUACCAGCCGUCUUGCAUAUUCGUGUGGCGAGGUCUCAGGAACGUUAGGCAGGAAUACUACUGCACCUAUCAUGGGCAGAAAGUUCACCUGCAGCAGAGAGCCCCCAGGCAAAUUGCUAAAUUACAGGUGGUCCCCUAAUCUGAAGUGUGACAAUGAAGAUGACACUCACUCCAAGGUGAUUUUUCUUGGAAUCAUCUUAGAGUCACCAUGAAGGUUACAUCAGCUAACACAUGAUCAUUUCAUAGAAGACACUCGACUGCCAUCCGGGACUCUCAUUGCUCUGAUGAAGGCUCUCAGCACAGCAUGCUCCUGUCUCCUGGGGCUGGCCACUCCCUGGUGGAAGAGACUUCCAGACCAUUAGAAGGCUGUUUCUUUGCGUGAAUAAGCAUCAUAUUCCCAUUGCUUCCGUGGACCUGUCCUAAAUCAGCUUCCUGGGGUUACGAUGUACAAGACUAGUUCUGACUAGCUGGUCAUCCUAGCCACCCCAAUUUUCAUCUGUGUGACUCAACGUCUGGGGUGAAUUUGAGUUUCUGUAUAUGCCUUAGCUUGUCCUUUUCUUAAAUGAGUAAGCCAGGUGUACACCCUUGUUUUUGUGGCCUGUCCUUUGACACAAUCAUGUUCAGCCCAUAAUAGGUUUGUGACCUCUAUAUUGUCACCAUGAAUUUUGACCUUUGUCAGUGUUAAUUGCUUUUGUGUCUCCAAUUUUACUUUGUUGUGUAUUAAUAUCGCUGCUCUAAGAGCUGAGUGGAUUUGCCUGA